Molecule: non-coding RNA, 24 nt
Filed under: Cricetulus griseus (Chinese hamster)
Lineage: Eukaryota; Metazoa; Chordata; Mammalia; Rodentia; Cricetidae
Source: RNAcentral
GGAAUUUUAUUCUGGAUCAGGUGA